GAUGAACGCUGGCGGCGUGCCUAAUACAUGCAAGUCGAGCGAACGGACGAGAGGCUUGCUUUUCUGAUGUUAGCGGCGGACGGGUGAGUAACACGUGGAUAACCUACCUAUAAGACUGGGAUAACUUCGGGAAACCGGAGCUAAUACCGGAUAAUAUUUUGAACCGCAUGGUUCAAAAGUGAAAGACGGUCCUGCUGUCACUUAUAGAUGGAUCCGCGCUGCAUUAGCUAGUUGGUAAGGUAACGGCUUACCAAGGCAACGAUGCAUAGCCGACCUGAGAGGGUGAUCGGCCACACUGGAACUGAGACACGGUCCAGACUCCUACGGGAGGCAGCAGUAGGGAAUCUUCCGCAAUGGGCGAAAGCCUGACGGAGCAACGCCGCGUGAGUGAUGAAGGUCUUCGGAUCGUAAAACUCUGUUAUUAGGGAAGAACAUAUGUGUAAGUAACUGUGCACAUCUUGACGGUACCUAAUCAGAAAGCCACGGCUAACUACGUG
RNAcentral lists this ribosomal RNA (497 nucleotides) under uncultured bacterium. RNAcentral describes it as "partial 16S ribosomal RNA". It matches the Rfam family "Bacterial small subunit ribosomal RNA", at positions 28 to 507 of the family's 1533-position model. The record is from RNAcentral.